Molecule: long non-coding RNA, 523 nt
Organism: Drosophila subpulchrella
Lineage: Eukaryota; Metazoa; Arthropoda; Insecta; Diptera; Drosophilidae
Exons: 3
Source: RefSeq, a predicted model, not a curated record
AUUAACGACAAGUGACGUCAUGAAAGUCAGCCGAAUAUGUGCCAAAAAAUAAUACACCCAAAAUCAAAAAUGGAAAGGCCAAUUGAGAGGCUUCCUUACAACCAGAUAUCACUCGGAGUAUCGGGUUUUGCCUGGGGGUUAAUUUCAAGAGCAAGUGUUGACCUUCCCGGGAGUCGAUCAUGUAGUGCAGUGUAAUUAUAGCCAGUAACGCAUUCACAUUCCCAUUGGCUGCUGUUGCUGCACAGUAGGCGAAUGUCGGGCCAGAAGAGCCCAUCAGUUCGUACCAUCAGUGCACCAUAUGGACACUCCUCCAGACAAAUUAGCCUGCGGUUAGCUGUGGAUGCAUUCAAAGAUCGCAUGAUCGUACAGCCGUUUUUCAUGGCUUCGUUUGGCAGUUGACACGUUAAGAGCACGCACGUUUGCCGGCCAUUUAAGUGGCCCCAGCAUCGGAGCAUCUCGCAUCUCGCAGCUCGCAUCUUGGCCAUUGCCACUGGCCAGAAGAUGGAGGAGCCGAUAAAGCGGA